Molecule: ribosomal RNA, 253 nt
Filed under: uncultured bacterium
Lineage: Bacteria
Description: partial 16S ribosomal RNA
Rfam family: Bacterial small subunit ribosomal RNA
Source: RNAcentral
UACGGGGGGAGCAAGCGUUGUUCGGAUUUACUGGGCGUAAAGGGCGCGUAGGCGGCGCAACAAGUCACUUGUGAAAUCUCCGGGCUUAACCCGGAGCGGCCAAGUGAUACUGUCGUGCUAGAGUGCGGAAGGGGCUACUGGAAUUCUCGGUGUAGCGGUGAAAUGCGUAGAUAUCAGGAGGAACACCGGUGGCGAAGGCGGUUCUCUGGGCAUUACCUGACGCUGAGGAGCGAAAGUGUGGGGAGCGAACAGG